Molecule: ribosomal RNA, 310 nt
Filed under: uncultured eukaryote
Lineage: Eukaryota
Description: partial 18S ribosomal RNA
Rfam family: Eukaryotic small subunit ribosomal RNA
Source: RNAcentral
CCCUUAGAUGUUCUGGGCCGCACGCGUGCUACACUGAACGGAUCAACGGGUGAGAUACUGCGAAAGCAGAAUCCAAUCUCUAAAUCCGUUCGUGCUGGGGAUAGAAGCUUGCAAUUCUCCUUCUUGAACGAGGAAUACCUUGUAAGCGUGAGUCAUCAUCUCGCGCUGAAUACGUCCCUGCCCUUUGUACACACCGCCCGUCGCUCCUACCGAUUGAAUGGUCCGGUGAAGCCUCCGGAUUGGCGCGCACCUCGGUGCCGCCGAGAAGUUGGCUAAACCUUACCAUUUAGAGGAAGGUGAAGUCGUAACA